This 72-nucleotide transfer RNA is filed under the name Camelus bactrianus (Bactrian camel). It matches the Rfam family "tRNA". Rfam says of the family: Transfer RNA (tRNA) molecules are approximately 80 nucleotides in length. The record is from Rfam by way of RNAcentral. RNAcentral also lists the same sequence under 2 other names. Lineage: Eukaryota; Metazoa; Chordata; Mammalia; Artiodactyla; Camelidae.
GGGUAUAUAACUUGGUGGUAAAGUGCAUGCUUAGAGUGCACGAGGUCCUGGGUUCAAUCCUCAGUACCUCCA